CCUACGGUGGGCAGCAGUGGGGGAUAUUGCACAAUGGGGGGAACCCUGAUGCAGCGACGCCGCGUGGGUGAAGGAGUGCUUCGGCAUGUAAAGCCCUAUCGGCAGGGAAGAUGCAAGACGGUACCUGACUAAGAAGCCCCGGCUAACUACGUGCCAGCAGCCGCGGUAAUACGUAGGGGGCGAGCGUUCUCCGGAUUCACGGGGUGUAAAGGGAGCGUAGACGGCCAUGCAAGCCAGGGGUGAAAGCCCGGGCCCCAACCCCGGGACUGCCCUUGGACUGGCAUGGCUGGAGGGCGGGAGGGGCAGGCGGAAUUCCUGGUGUAGCGUUGAAAUGCG
This 336-nucleotide ribosomal RNA is filed under the name uncultured bacterium. RNAcentral describes it as "partial 16S ribosomal RNA". It matches the Rfam family "Bacterial small subunit ribosomal RNA", at positions 338 to 690 of the family's 1533-position model. The record is from RNAcentral.